Molecule: long non-coding RNA, 429 nt
Organism: Carlito syrichta (Philippine tarsier)
Lineage: Eukaryota; Metazoa; Chordata; Mammalia; Primates; Tarsiidae
Exons: 2
Source: RefSeq, a predicted model, not a curated record
CUCUCCCGGCUCCUCCCGCGCGGCGGCGACGAGGACAGGUUUUGACUCGCGUCGGGAGAAGCAAGGAGAAGGUGGAGCAGAACCGGGGGUACAGGCAUAUAACUCGAUCCGAGCCAGUGAGAGAUGAAGGAAAUGUGCUAGAGGCUUCUGAGAUGAAUUUUCUUCCUUGAUGAAAUGGAUCGAUGAGAAAAACUGCCAUUUUUUUCUGCCAUUGGAUGUGGUUGUGUAAGGACAUGAUAUUUAGAGCUAAGAAAGCUCUUCCGAACAUUAAUAUAUAAUUCUGAAGAAAAAAGUCAACCCACUGAUGAUGGCUAAGCAGAGAGCUAAAAGGCAUCAUUGAACUACUGUACUGACCCUGGGACUGGCCUUCCUCUGGAUUUCUGUUUAGUAAAAUAAUAAAUGUCUUUAUAGUUAAUAAUGUCUUUGUAA